GAAAUAUGAGGAAACCUCAGAUUUAAUUGUUCAUAAGCACAAACUGAAAUUGAUGUGAAAUUGGUAAGUAUGUUUGGUUAUUACGGUUUUUUUUUAAGGUGUUAGAACAAAUUUGAUAUGGCAGUAGCUAAUCUAACCAUUUGUUUAAGUUAUUGCCUUGAUAUGAGAUUUAGGAUAUUAUCAAUUAAGUUCUUGUUGAGAAAGGAGUUCAUUGGCCUGUAAUGUACAGGCUAUAUUCAGAAAUCUGAUUUCUUUAGCUUGGCAGGGGCUAGUUGGUAAGAUUUUAUGAGUUUUGCUAAAUGAGUUUAUAUUAAUGCUAUAUAUUUAUGAU
This 331-nucleotide long non-coding RNA is filed under the name Jatropha curcas. RNAcentral's name for it is "long non-coding RNA (JCUR_LNC002051)". Lineage: Eukaryota; Viridiplantae; Streptophyta; Magnoliopsida; Malpighiales; Euphorbiaceae. The record is from RNAcentral.